CUAUCCUCAAAGUUACCCCGGAAAAACAAACUGUUCCAACCCCCAUGCGGAAGUACAAUGCCAAUGCGAAUAUCAUCACCACGGAAGACAAUAAAAUUCACAUUCACCUGGGUUCUCAGUUUAAGCGAUCUCCCGGGCCUGCAGCAGCGGAAGGCGUGAGUCCAGUUAUCACGGUCCGGCCUGUCAACGUAACAGCCGAGAAGGAGGUUUCUACGGGCACAGUCCUUCGCUCUCCCAGGAACCACCUCUCUUCAAGACCUGGUGCUAACAAAGUGACCAGCACUAUAACCAUAACCCCGGUCACAACGUCAUCCACACGAGGAACCCAAUCAGUGGUCAGGACAAGAUGGGUCAUCUCAGCGGCCUACACCCACCCGCAUCCCCAUGUCAAAAGAAAGCGUCAUCAUUCACCAGUUGCGAGUGAGCUCCAGAUGAGAUUACCAAGCACAGCCCACAGUCAUCGCUAAAGUCACCAUGCUACUGAUGUUGACUGGAAACACCUUAGGACCUCCAGUGAUCUUUUCUUCCUUCCUUCCUUCCUUCCUUCCUUCCUUCCUUCCUUUCCUUCCUUCCUUCCUUCCUUCCUUCCUUCCUUCCUUCCUUCCUUCCUUCCUUCCUUCCUCCUUCCUUCCUUUCCUUUCCUUCCUUCCUUCCUUCCUUCCUUCCUUCCUUCCUUCCUUUCUUUCUCUUUCUUGCUCUCUCUUUUUUUUUGAGGAUACAACUUAGCAGUUAAAAAAACAUAUUGUGGAUGGCAUGAACAUAUGUGGCAAACCCAGUUGAAUCUUUGUGCCCAGAGAAAGUUUUCUUCCCUUUACAAAGUUUUCAGGUCUGUGGGCAUAUGCUGUAUAAUUUAUUUGUAUAAUACUUUUUGUAAUGUGAUCCCCCCCAAAUUGUCUCCUUUCUCAUAGUCCCUGGCACAUGUAUCUGUAGACUGUACUGUCAAUUCUUUGAAGUAUUGCAUAUUCAAAAGAGGUUAACAUAUCGUUCUCCUUUAUUAAUUUGUUGUUUUUAAGAAAGAGAAAGCACAGCACUCGAUUUCCCUGGACAACGUUAAAAGGUAAAACCGAGGAACAGGAGAUCCUGGGAGUUCCACGGCUUGAACGGUGCUAUGGUUCUGAUCGCGGCCCAACACGGAAAACACUGUCCUGACUUAGGAGUUUAAGUACUUAAAACCAACAUGUAACUGUCUCCUUUGGUGUUCUGAGUGAGAAACAAACAGCUUUGACUGACAGUCAAUUUUAUUUCUAUCUGCAUUGUUUAACUCUGUGUACAAAACAUAAUAGUGACUUUGAUGUCCCUGUAUUUCCCACAUAUUAGUGCCCCCGUGAAAGCUUUCAAAUAAAAACCGACCUAAAUAAUGUCCACUUAAAAAAAAAGUAGGGAGACCCAAAGGUAUAUAAUCACUUCACUCCAAUUUUGAUAGGUUUUUCAAAACAACUUGUAGGUAGAAAAAACAACUACUACUACUCCUUUUUCCUUCCCCUCCUCCUCCUCUUCCUCCUCCUCCUCCCCCUUCCUCCCCCCACCCCCACCCCAGUCGUCAUCUUGGUACAGGCUCUUGCUAUGUAUCUCUAGCUAGCCUAAAACUGGUUUUGUAGACCAGGCUGGCCUUGAAGUCCCAGGGAUCCUGUCUGUGCCUCUCACAUGUGUUAAGACUAAAGGCAUGUGCCACCAAACCCAGCUAAAAUAUAUUUAUAUUUUAAAGAAUUAAAAGUCCACCAUUUGCUAUUCGCCUCAUUGUCAGAGCUGCUGUUGAAUUUAUGUAAAAAUAUGACGUCUACUUGGAACUCUAGUUUAAAAAAUCCCGUUGACGAGAGUGUAGUUCUUAUAAGAUCUUUAAACAUAACUAUAAGGAUAAGCGCUGACACUCGGUUUCUAAAUGAAGAAGUCAUUUACCUUGCUACUCUAGUGUGAUUAAAGAGCCAAGGCAUCUUCUGAAUGUUAAGAGGUAAGUCAAGUCACGAAAGCCAUGUGCUGGAGGCUCACCUCUGUCCACAAGCUGUACCCUUAUCAGCUGCAGAGGGGCGUUUACAGAGUCUCUGGAAUAGGAAGCACAAUGCUAAACCCUCAUGUAACCUAGAGGGUUUUUAAUAUAUUCUGUGGAACUGACAAAUCAUAUUCAAUACAUACCAUAAAUUAAAUAUUUUCUAAAAAAAAAUCUUGCAUUUGUUUAAAGUAAAAUAAAUGUCAUGUUAGACUUGCCCAAACUUUAAUGAUAGUGGAAGUCUCACAUAACCUUUGUGGUUUUGAUCACUGACACAGAAGUCUAGACUCUGUGUGUGUGUGUGUGUGUGUGUGUGUGUGUGUGUGUGUGUGUUAAGAUUUUUAAAAGGGUUAAGAUUUGCUUUCUCAAAAUGUUAAAAUAUAAUGAUUUUUCAAUCACAAAACAGCUUUUAUUUUAUUUAGUAUUUUUCUGCUGACUUAGGUGGUACAGUUACUGGAGCUUAAUUAUUUGCUUUAACUUACAAGACUGCUAAGCUGUGGAUACGGAUCUUCUGGGUUUCUUUCCCUCCUGAGUUGUAAAGAACUUUAGUAUUUGUCAAGACAGUGAAGAUUAUGUUGUAACCAGUCAUCUGGGUAGAUGCUGAUUUUCCUGCCUACCUCAUCACCAAUUUCUUGAGUGACAUAUAAGUAAAAGGAACACAUUAAAUUUGAAACAAGAGACUGUUGUGAAACAAGGCAAGAUCACAGUCACAUCUUAGCAACCUUGUUGCGUUGUAAAAGUUGCCAUCACAGGUAGUUCUGGCGCUAACCUGGAAACAUUGUGUAACCUUGAUUCUUUUACUGUAAAUACAUCUCCAUCAAUCUGGAUGAGACUAAUCUGUGGAUGGAAUUAUUUAGGUAUUUUCUGAACUGCAAUCAGCAUUUCUAGUUCAAGGCACAGUUGACCCAAUCCAUUGUUCUGUUUGAUCUGCAGUUGUUCCGUUUUGUUUUUAAGACAGGGUCUUCUUAUGUAGCUCUGGUUGUCCAAAACUCACAGAGAUCCUGUCUCUCUGUUUCCUGAGUGUUAGGAAAUAAAAAUGUGCAAUACAAUCCCCAGCCUCUACAUGUGUUUUCUGAGACAGGGUUUCACUAGCUAGCCCAGGCUGUCCUCAAACACAUUAUGUAGCUAAGGAUGGUUCACACCUAUGAUGUUCCUGCCCCAGUCACCCGAGUGUUAGAAUUACAAGCAUGAAUCACAGUAAUGACUACAUCUUUCCUCUUGAUAACUCUUUUUGCUUAUUUGAUCUUGGUUUCUGUGGUAUCAUCUGCCUUUCUUCAAGUGUUCAUAAAGUGUUGAGCUUGAUGAAGAGACUGGAUAGAGAGUAUCAGCAGGAUAUUCUUGCCCAGAUUGUACAUAAAACAAAUUCAUUGAGUCUUAAAACAACCUCUAAGAAAUCACGGUGUGGAAUAUCUAGUUUAAGCACUAACAACAACAUAGAUGCUGCUAAAAUAACUUGGAGCUUGUAAAACUCAGAGGUAAGGUGAGAGUAAAUGGUUUAGUAGGCAUGUGAUGGUUUUAUCCAAUACCACUGUUGAGAUUUUCUGGAAAACAGAAGAAAAAUAUGGUGGAAGUUGAAUAUGUUCAGGUAUUGUUUCAGCCAUACAUCUAAAAAUAGCAGAAGUACAAAAUGAAACUUAAAACUCAUGAGUUGGUGCCUGAGGCUCAGGCCAUCCUAUCUCUGCUGCUAGACCAAUACUAAAAAGACCAAGUAGAGGGCAAAGAGGAAGAAGAAUAAAAAUAACUGUAAGAAAUUAUAAAAGUUAGAAGUUUAUGACCAUUAGUACUUGUUUCUGAGUUUUCAGUAGUUAUUUCAUAACUAAUAACUGUGUUCUUUGUGGAAAAUGUAAUAGUUGCAUACAUUUUGGACAGGUAUGUUUAUGUAUGCCAUGGUGGGAUAAAAGCAUUUUCUGCUCUUUUGUUUGUUUGUGGCUCAUGUCAUUUGUGGGUAUGUCACCUUAUCAUCCAACAGAUUUUGUCACUUUACCAGUGAAAAUUUGAAUUUUUAAUCUAAUUUUUAAACAAAAGAGUACAAGGUAUUCAUUUAUCCAAAAUAUUAAAUGUAUAAUGUGAUAAGUCAGUCUUAGAAUUCUUCAAGGUUUUAGAGUUGUCAAAAGCAAGAAUAUAUUUUGGAAAGCUUUUAGAAAUACUCUAUUUUCCUAUCAUUCUGAAUUUGCCUCCCUUCAGCUUUAUUAAAUAUAUAAGUUUAUUAUUUUACACUGAAACCGCAUGGUUUUAUGUGCUUGUCUUUUAUACGAGUGUAAUGCCCUCUUUUCAGCUCUUUAUAAGUGAUUACAUUACAGUUAAGACAUUCUCUGUUACUUUUAAAAUCAAAUUAUUUAUGGAAAUCUCACCGGGGUAUGAAAAAAAUGACAAUGAAAUAUAAAAGGCUUGUGCAAUAUUCUUUUUACAUCUGAAUACAAUAUUCAUACAAUUAAAAAAUUAAAAUA
RNAcentral lists this long non-coding RNA (4431 nucleotides) under Mus musculus (house mouse). RNAcentral describes it as "myolinc long isoform". Lineage: Eukaryota; Metazoa; Chordata; Mammalia; Rodentia; Muridae. The record is from RNAcentral.